RNAcentral lists this ribosomal RNA (202 nucleotides) under uncultured bacterium. Its description in RNAcentral is "partial 16S ribosomal RNA". It matches the Rfam family "Bacterial small subunit ribosomal RNA", at positions 1299 to 1500 of the family's 1533-position model. The record is from RNAcentral.
UGCAGGCUGCAACUCGCCUGCAUGAAGUCGGAAUUGCUAGUAAUCGCAGAUCAGCAUGCUGCGGUGAAUACGUCCCCGGGCCUUGUACACACCGCCCGUCACACCAUGGGAGUCGGUAACACCCGAAGUCGGUAGCCUAACCGUAAGGAGGGCGCCGCCGAAGGUGGGAUUGAUGACUGGGGUGAAGUCGUAACAAGGUACC